This 253-nucleotide ribosomal RNA is filed under the name uncultured bacterium. RNAcentral describes it as "partial 16S ribosomal RNA". It matches the Rfam family "Bacterial small subunit ribosomal RNA", at positions 524 to 776 of the family's 1533-position model. The record is from RNAcentral.
UACAGAGGUGGCAAGCGUUGUUCGGAAUUACUGGGCGUAAAGGGCGCGUAGGCGGCCUACUAAGUCAGACGUGAAAUCCCCCGGCUUAACCUGGGAACUGCGUCUGAUACUGGAAGGCUUGAGGAUGGGAGAGGGAUGUAGAAUUCCAGGUGUAGCGGUGAAAUGCGUAGAUAUCAGGAGGAACACCUAUUGCGAAGGCAGCUCGCUGGGACGUUACUGACGCUGAGACGCGAAAGCGUGGGGAGCAAACAGG